AUUGGCAUGUCUUCUUUUAGUUUUUUUUCCUUUUAAUGGUGGUAUUAGUACCAUGUUGUGCUCAUUCCAUUAGGGGAAGGAAGAAUAAAAAAAGAUAUGCCAUUUUGGUCAAUAAAUAUGCUCUUUAUCAUAUCCUUGAAUAUCUUUUGUCUCAAUAUUUCUCUGUCUUUAAUUCUAUAUCAAUCCUUGAAUAUUUAUAUAACAUACAAUAUAUAACAUUCAACACAAUAUACUAAUGACAAUAUUCUUUUAUCAAUAUAUACUACUU
RNAcentral lists this long non-coding RNA (268 nucleotides) under Nicotiana benthamiana. Its description in RNAcentral is "long non-coding RNA (NBEN_LNC026947)". The record is from RNAcentral. Lineage: Eukaryota; Viridiplantae; Streptophyta; Magnoliopsida; Solanales; Solanaceae.